This 353-nucleotide ribosomal RNA is filed under the name Bacillus sp. Rasool5. Its description in RNAcentral is "bacterial SSU rRNA". It matches the Rfam family "Bacterial small subunit ribosomal RNA", at positions 1137 to 1489 of the family's 1533-position model. Lineage: Bacteria; Bacillati; Bacillota; Bacilli; Caryophanales; Bacillaceae. The record is from RNAcentral.
CCUCUAAGGUGACUGCCGGUGACAAACCGGAGGAAGGUGGGGAUGACGUCAAAUCAUCAUGCCCCUUAUGACCUGGGCUACACACGUGCUACAAUGGAUGGUACAAAGGGUUGCGAAGCCGCGAGGUGAAGCCAAUCCCAGAAAGCCAUUCUCAGUUCGGAUUGCAGGCUGCAACUCGCCUGCAUGAAGCCGGAAUUGCUAGUAAUCGCGGAUCAGCAUGCCGCGGUGAAUACGUUCCCGGGCCUUGUACACACCGCCCGUCACACCACGAGAGUUUGUAACACCCGAAGUCGGUGGGGUAACCUUUUGGAGCCAGCCGCCUAAGGUGGGACAGAUGAUUGGGGUGAAGUCGU